Molecule: unclassified non-coding RNA, 261 nt
Filed under: Hevea brasiliensis (rubber tree)
Lineage: Eukaryota; Viridiplantae; Streptophyta; Magnoliopsida; Malpighiales; Euphorbiaceae
Source: RNAcentral
AGUCUCCAGGAACAGGAUUCUCAGGUCUUUGAUAGCCACCAUCUUUCUCAAAACUUUCAUCCAAUAAUUCAGGAUGAAAGCACUUCGGUUGCCCACCAGAUACAUAAAGAGGAUCACCAAUUAGUGGAUAUCCUAUGAAAGAGAGGUGGAUGCGGAUUUGGUGUGGCCUUCCAGAUUGAAUUUCAACCUGAACCAAUGUGCAGUUACUCUCUGAAUCUCUUUCAAGAACGCGAACACUGCUCAAAGCUGGCUUCCCUGAAG